Molecule: ribosomal RNA, 550 nt
Filed under: uncultured bacterium
Lineage: Bacteria
Description: bacterial SSU rRNA
Rfam family: Bacterial small subunit ribosomal RNA
Source: RNAcentral
UAGGGAAUCUUCGGCAAUGGACGAAAGUCUGACCGAGCAACGCCGCGUGAGUGAAGAAGGUUUUCGGAUCGUAAAACUCUGUUGUUAGAGAAGAACAAGGACGUUAGUAACUGAACGACCCCUGACGGUAUCUAACCAGAAAGCCACGGCUAACUACGUGCCAGCAGCCGCGGUAAUACGUAGGUGGCAAGCGUUCUCCGGAUUUAUUGGGCGUAAAGCGAGCGCAGGCGGUUUCUUAAGUCUGAUGUGAAAGCCCCCGGCUCAACCGGGGAGGGUCAUUGGAAACUGGGAGACUUGAGUGCAGAAGAGGAGAGUGGAAUUCCAUGUGUAGCGGUGAAAUGCGUAGAUAUAUGGAGGAACACCAGUGGCGAAGGCGGCUCUCUGGUCUGUAACUGACGCUGAGGCUCGAAAGCGUGGGGAGCAAACAGGAUUAGAUACCCUGGUAGUCCACGCCGUAAACGAUGAGUGCUAAGUGUUGGAGGGUUUCCGCCCUUCAGUGCUGCAGCAAACGCAUUAAGCACUCCGCCUGGGGAGUACGACCGCAAGGUUG